CGGGCUGUAGCGCAGCUUGGUAGCGCACCUGACUGGGGGUCAGGGGGUCGCAGGUUCAAAUCCUGUCAGCCCGACCU
Molecule: transfer RNA, 77 nt
Filed under: Arthrobacter oryzae
Lineage: Bacteria; Bacillati; Actinomycetota; Actinomycetes; Micrococcales; Micrococcaceae
Description: tRNA-Pro
Rfam family: tRNA
About the family: Transfer RNA (tRNA) molecules are approximately 80 nucleotides in length. Their secondary structure includes four short double-helical elements and three loops (D, anti-codon, and T loops).
Source: RNAcentral